RNAcentral lists this ribosomal RNA (239 nucleotides) under uncultured bacterium. Its description in RNAcentral is "partial 16S ribosomal RNA". It matches the Rfam family "Bacterial small subunit ribosomal RNA", at positions 100 to 334 of the family's 1533-position model. The record is from RNAcentral.
CGGCACGGGUGAGUAACACGUAUCCAACCUGCCGUCUACUCUUGGCCAGCCUUCUGAAAGGAAGAUUUAAUCCAGGAUGGCAUCAUGAGUUCACAUGUCCGCAUGAUUAAAGGUAUUUUCCGGUAGACGAUGGGGAUGCGUUCCAUUAGAUAGUAGGCGGGGUAACGGCCCACCUAGUCAACGAUGGAUAGGGGUUCUGAGAGGAAGGUCCCCCACAUUGGAACUGAGACACGGUCCAA